CCUUAGCCCCGAUUGCAACGGCAUCCUUUUUUGUUAUUGCGAUGGCUGAAUGAUUCAACAGACUGCUUCACUUCGUUCGCAAUGACAAAAAAGAUAUAGUGGAAAGCGGGAUUAAGC
This 117-nucleotide small RNA is filed under the name Epilithonimonas zeae. RNAcentral's name for it is "Chryseobacterium zeae Flavo-1 RNA". It matches the Rfam family "Flavo-1 RNA". The record is from RNAcentral. Lineage: Bacteria; Pseudomonadati; Bacteroidota; Flavobacteriia; Flavobacteriales; Weeksellaceae.